AGGGAAUUUUCGGCAAUGGGGGGAGCCCUGACCGAGCAACGCCGCGUGAACGAAGAAGUUAUUCGUAAUGUAAAGUUCUUUUAUCAGGGAAGAAAGAGGAAUUUGACGGUACCUGAGGAAUAAGCUCCGGCUAACUAC
RNAcentral lists this ribosomal RNA (138 nucleotides) under uncultured bacterium. RNAcentral's name for it is "partial 16S ribosomal RNA". It matches the Rfam family "Bacterial small subunit ribosomal RNA", at positions 356 to 504 of the family's 1533-position model. The record is from RNAcentral.